This 1558-nucleotide ribosomal RNA is filed under the name Escherichia coli. RNAcentral's name for it is "partial 23S ribosomal RNA". It matches the Rfam family "Bacterial large subunit ribosomal RNA", at positions 1291 to 2839 of the family's 2925-position model. Lineage: Bacteria; Pseudomonadati; Pseudomonadota; Gammaproteobacteria; Enterobacterales; Enterobacteriaceae. The record is from RNAcentral.
CGAAUGCUGACAUAAGUAACGAUAAAGCGGGUGAAAAGCCCGCUCGCCGGAAGACCAAGGGUUCCUGUCCAACGUUAAUCGGGGCAGGGUGAGUCGACCCCUAAGGCGAGGCCGAAAGGCGUAGUCGAUGGGAAACAGGUUAAUAUUCCUGUACUUGGUGUUACUGCGAAGGGGGGACGGAGAAGGCUAUGUUGGCCGGGCGACGGUUGUCCCGGUUUAAGCGUGUAGGCUGGUUUUCCAGGCAAAUCCGGAAAAUCAAGGCUGAGGCGUGAUGACGAGGCACUACGGUGCUGAAGCAACAAAUGCCCUGCUUCCAGGAAAAGCCUCUAAGCAUCAGGUAACAUCAAAUCGUACCCCAAACCGACACAGGUGGUCAGGUAGAGAAUACCAAGGCGCUUGAGAGAACUCGGGUGAAGGAACUAGGCAAAAUGGUGCCGUAACUUCGGGAGAAGGCACGCUGAUAUGUAGGUGAAGUCCCUCGCGGAUGGAGCUGAAAUCAGUCGAAGAUACCAGCUGGCUGCAACUGUUUAUUAAAAACACAGCACUGUGCAAACACGAAAGUGGACGUAUACGGUGUGACGCCUGCCCGGUGCCGGAAGGUUAAUUGAUGGGGUCAGCGCAAGCGAAGCUCUUGAUCGAAGCCCCGGUAAACGGCGGCCGUAACUAUAACGGUCCUAAGGUAGCGAAAUUCCUUGUCGGGUAAGUUCCGACCUGCACGAAUGGCGUAAUGAUGGCCAGGCUGUCUCCACCCGAGACUCAGUGAAAUUGAACUCGCUGUGAAGAUGCAGUGUACCCGCGGCAAGACGGAAAGACCCCGUGAACCUUUACUAUAGCUUGACACUGAACAUUGAGCCUUGAUGUGUAGGAUAGGUGGGAGGCUUUGAAGUGUGGACGCCAGUCUGCAUGGAGCCGACCUUGAAAUACCACCCUUUAAUGUUUGAUGUUCUAACGUGGACCCGUGAUCCGGGUUGCGGACAGUGUCUGGUGGGUAGUUUGACUGGGGCGGUCUCCUCCUAAAGAGUAACGGAGGAGCACGAAGGUUGGCUAAUCCUGGUCGGACAUCAGGAGGUUAGUGCAAUGGCAUAAGCCAGCUUGACUGCGAGCGUGACGGCGCGAGCAGGUGCGAAAGCAGGUCAUAGUGAUCCGGUGGUUCUGAAUGGAAGGGCCAUCGCUCAACGGAUAAAAGGUACUCCGGGGAUAACAGGCUGAUACCGCCCAAGAGUUCAUAUCGACGGCGGUGUUUGGCACCUCGAUGUCGGCUCAUCACAUCCUGGGGCUGAAGUAGGUCCCAAGGGUAUGGCUGUUCGCCAUUUAAAGUGGUACGCGAGCUGGGUUUAGAACGUCGUGAGACAGUUCGGUCCCUAUCUGCCGUGGGCGCUGGAGAACUGAGGGGGGCUGCUCCUAGUACGAGAGGACCGGAGUGGACGCAUCACUGGUGUUCGGGUUGUCAUGCCAAUGGCACUGCCCGGUAGCUAAAUGCGGAAGAGAUAAGUGCUGAAAGCAUCUAAGCACGAAACUUGCCCCGAGAUGAGUUCUCCCUGACCCUUUAAGGGUCCUG